RNAcentral lists this ribosomal RNA (768 nucleotides) under uncultured fungus. Its description in RNAcentral is "eukaryotic LSU rRNA". The stretch from base 321 to 474 matches the Rfam family "5.8S ribosomal RNA". The record is from RNAcentral. Lineage: Eukaryota; Fungi.
UAAAAGUCGUAACAAGGUUUCCGUAGGUGAACCUGCGGAAGGAUCAUUAUUGAAUAAACUUGAACAGGCUGUUGCNUAGCUUCUCUUGGAAAGGGAGGGGUAUGUGCACGCUUGUCAUCUUUGUUUCUCCAACUGUGCACAUAUUGUAGACCUGGCAAGUUGAUUGAACCUUUUGGUUCGUUUCGAGUUUGGGACUGCCGUGCUUUUUGAAGUCGGCUUUGCUUUGCUUUUUUGCCUUGGUCUAUGUCAUUUUCACAAACCAAUGAAUUUGUUCAGAAUGUUGAAUCAGGUCCUUUUUUGUACCUAUAAAGUUUAUAUACAACUUUCAGCAACGGAUCUCUUGGUUCUCGCAUCGAUGAAGAACGCAGCGAAAUGCGAUAAGUAAUGUGAAUUGCAGAAUUCAGUGAAUCAUCGAAUCUUUGAACGCAUCUUGCGCUCCUUGGUAUUCCGAGGAGCAUGCCUGUUUGAGUGUCAUUUCAUCUUCUCAACCCACACCCACUGGAUUUAUUUUCUAGGGUGUGUGGCUUGGAUGUGGGGGGAUGUAUUUUUUGCAGGCUCUCGAGUCUGCUCCCCUAAAAUGCAUUAGUGGUAUCCGAGCAGAUAAACUACUACAGGUGUGAUAAUCUAUCUAUGCCUCAGUAUGCUGCAUGAAUGGAUCACGCUGCUUCUAACAAAAAAAGAAAAAUGGGCCACCGUUUUGAUAAAUUUGACCUCAAAUCAGGUAGGACUACCCGCUGAACUUAAGCAUAUCAAUAAGCGGANGAAAAG